GAACGGGUGAGUAAUACAUCGGAACGUGCCCAAUCGUGGGGGAUAACGCAGCGAAAGCUGUGCUAAUACCGCAUACGAUCUACGGAUGAAAGCAGGGGAUCGCAAGACCUUGCGCGAAUGGAGCGGCCGAUGGCAGAUUAGGUAGUUGGUGAGGUAAAGGCUCACCAAGCCUUCGAUCUGUAGCUGGUCUGAGAGGACGACCAGCCACACUGGGACUGAGACACGGCCCAGACUCCUACGGGAGGCAGCAGUGGGGAAUUUUGGACAAUGGGCGAAAGCCUGAUCCAGCCAUGCCGCGUGCAGGAUGAAGGCCUUCGGGUUGUAAACUGCUUUUGUACGGAACGAAACGGCCUUUUCUAAUAAAGAGGGCUAAUGACGGUACCGUAAGAAUAAGCACCGGCUAACUACGUGCCAGCAGCCGCGGUAAUACGUAGGGUGCAAGCGUUAAUCGGAAUUACUGGGCGUAAAGCGUGCGCAGGCGGUUAUGUAAGACAGUUGUGAAAUCCCCGGGCUCAACCUGGGAACUGCAUCUGUGACUGCAUAGCUAGAGUACGGUAGAGGGGGAUGGAAUUCCGCGUGUAGCAGUGAAAUGCGUAGAUAUGCGGAGGAACACCGAUGGCGAAGGCAAUCCCCUGGACCUGUACUGACGCUCAUGCACG
This 659-nucleotide ribosomal RNA is filed under the name Variovorax sp. EECC-506. Its description in RNAcentral is "bacterial SSU rRNA". It matches the Rfam family "Bacterial small subunit ribosomal RNA", at positions 100 to 755 of the family's 1533-position model. The record is from RNAcentral. Lineage: Bacteria; Pseudomonadati; Pseudomonadota; Betaproteobacteria; Burkholderiales; Comamonadaceae.